This 462-nucleotide ribosomal RNA is filed under the name uncultured bacterium. Its description in RNAcentral is "bacterial SSU rRNA". It matches the Rfam family "Bacterial small subunit ribosomal RNA", at positions 28 to 507 of the family's 1533-position model. The record is from RNAcentral.
GAUGAACGCUAGCAGAACGCCUAACACAUGCAAGUCGAACGGAUUUGUUGACUUCGGUUAACAAGUUAGUGGCAAACGGGCGAGUAACACGUGCUUAAUUUGCCCUGGAGAGGGGAACAACUACAGAGAUGUAGCUAAAUCCCCAUACGCUCAUAGAAAUGAAAAUACUAUGAGGAAACGAGCAAUUGCUCUAGGAGAAGGGCGCGGCCUAAUCAGGUAGUUGGUGAGGUAAUAGCUCACCAAGCCUAUGACGGGUAACCGGUCUGAGAGGAUGUCCGGUCGCAAUGGAACUGAGACACGGUCCAUACCCUUACGAGGGGCAGCAGUGGGGAAUAUUGGACAAUGGGCGAAAGCCUGAUCCAGCGAUUCUGCGUGAAGGAUGAAGUUUUGCGGGGUGUAAACUUCUUUUCUGGGGGAAGACGAAUGACGGUACCCCAAGAAUAAGAGACGGCUAACUACGUG